RNAcentral lists this long non-coding RNA (199 nucleotides) under Elaeis guineensis (African oil palm). Its description in RNAcentral is "long non-coding RNA (EGUI_LNC014712)". The record is from RNAcentral. Lineage: Eukaryota; Viridiplantae; Streptophyta; Magnoliopsida; Arecales; Arecaceae.
AGGAGGAGUCCACUAUAAGAGAAUUUCAUUCUUUUUAAGAUAUGUCAGAGAUUCACUGAUGAGGUAUUCACCUUCUCGAUCUGAUCGAAGGAUCUUACUACUCUUUUCAGUCUAUUUCUCUGUUUCAGUACAGAAUCAUUUGAAUAUUUUAAAUGAUUUUGACUUGUGCUUUAUAAGAUAGACAUACCCAUAUCUCGAU